UACGAAGGGGGCUAGCGUUGCUCGGAAUCACUGGGCGUGAAGCGCACGUAGGCGGCUUCUUAAGUCAGGGGUGAAAUCCUGGAGCUCAACUCCAGAACUGCCUUUGAUACUGAGAGGCUCGAGUCCGGGAGAGGUGAGUGGAACUCCGAGUGUAGAGGUGAAAUUCGUAGAUAUUCGGAAGAACACCAGUGGCGAAGGCGGCUCACUGGCCCGGUACUGACGCUGAGGUGCGAAAGCCAGGGGAGCAAACGGG
RNAcentral lists this ribosomal RNA (253 nucleotides) under uncultured bacterium. Its description in RNAcentral is "partial 16S ribosomal RNA". It matches the Rfam family "Bacterial small subunit ribosomal RNA", at positions 524 to 776 of the family's 1533-position model. The record is from RNAcentral.